Molecule: ribosomal RNA, 253 nt
Filed under: uncultured bacterium
Lineage: Bacteria
Description: partial 16S ribosomal RNA
Rfam family: Bacterial small subunit ribosomal RNA
Source: RNAcentral
UACGUAGGGUGCAAGCGUUAUUCGGAAUUACUGGGCGUAAAGCGUGCGCAGGCGGUUCGCUAAGACAGAUGUGAAAUCCCCGGGCUUAACCUGGGAACUGCAUUUGUGACUGGCGGGCUAGAGUAUGGCAGAGGGGGGUAGAAUUCCACGUGUAGCAGUGAAAUGCGUAGAGAUGUGGAGGAAUACCGAUGGCGAAGGCAGCCCCCUGCGCCAAUACUGACGCUCAUGCACGAAAGCGUGGGGAGCAAACAGG